Molecule: small nucleolar RNA, 59 nt
Filed under: Cajanus cajan (pigeon pea)
Lineage: Eukaryota; Viridiplantae; Streptophyta; Magnoliopsida; Fabales; Fabaceae
Description: snoRNA gene-KK1_030842
Source: RNAcentral
AAUGGCAGACAAUCAACAUGGCAUCAGUUCAGUCCACCCGUCUGCACUUCUUCAUCAUU